This 492-nucleotide ribosomal RNA is filed under the name uncultured bacterium. RNAcentral describes it as "partial 16S ribosomal RNA". It matches the Rfam family "Bacterial small subunit ribosomal RNA", at positions 28 to 507 of the family's 1533-position model. The record is from RNAcentral.
GACGAACGCUGGCGGCGUGCUUAACACAUGCAAGUCGAACGGAAAGGCCCUCACUAUCUUGCUGGGGGUGCUCGAGUGGCGAAGGGGUGCGUAAUAAGUGGGUGCCAUGCUCUGUACUACGGGAUAAGAACGGGGAAAUGGGUAUAAUACUGGCCAGGACUAUGGCUUAGUGUCUCAGGGUGGAAAAAUUAUUGUUAUGGUUGAGGGUGGGCUCGCGGCCUAUUUGCUUGGUGGUGGGGUAAUGGCCUCACCAGGCGUCGACGGGUGGCGGGCCUGGGAGGGUGGACGGCCAAAUUGGGACGGGGGUCCGGGCCAGACUCCUACGGGAGGCAGCAGGGGGGGAUAGUGCACAAUGGGCGCAAGCCUGGUGCAGCGACGGCGCGUUGCGGAUGACGGCCUUCGGGUUGUAAACUCCUUUCGUUAGAGACGAAGCCGCACCUUUUUUGUGUGUUGUUGCGGGACCUUGGUGAAGAAGCACCGGCUAACUACGUG